UUUACAGAAGCAGUUUUCUAAGCCCUGGUCCAGAGGGGGACACAGAAAUAUUAACAGAUACCUGGAGUAUGGGGAGAGUGAUGUUAUGGCAGAAGGUGAUACAGAAAACUGUGGAAGCAGAGAGGAGGGAGCCUUGUUUGGAAGCCGAGGGGCCUUGCUAUAGGUAGCCUCCCUGAGGAUGCAGGCAGAGUACAUUGUGGAGAUCAGCAGAGAGCUGAGGCCAGAAGACCUCGCCCAACUCAGCCCUGUUCCCAACUUUAUUUUCUGCCAGUGAGAGCUGAGGUCCUGGUCCCAGGCCCCCGUGUGAGUGGGCAUAUUCCCUUUCAGCAUGGAGUGCUAAGCUAUUGAAGCAGACCCUAAGUAAGGCACUGGAGCACUGUGAAGAUGGGAAAAAUCCCCACUGAUCGCCGUGAAACAGUCAGGAUGGAGAAAAUCAAAGCAAAGCAAAAGAAAAUUAGUGCUCUGCAGAGAGCCUGCAGGAGUUCUGACAAUUUGGCCGUUAGCUCGAACUGCCUGCCCAGAGAGGAAGCUGCGAGAAGGGCCUUCAUAAAAGGUGAGAUGCUGUUACCAUGGGAUCAUGGAGGUGACCU
RNAcentral lists this long non-coding RNA (590 nucleotides) under Callithrix jacchus (white-tufted-ear marmoset). RNAcentral describes it as "lncRNA (ENSCJAG00000078153.1)". The record is from RNAcentral. Lineage: Eukaryota; Metazoa; Chordata; Mammalia; Primates; Cebidae.